UAAUACGUAGGGUGCGAGCGUUAAUCGGAAUUACUGGGCGUAAAGUGUGCGCAGGCGGCCGAGCAAGUCGAGUGUGAAAGCCCCGGGCUUAACUUGGGAAUUGCGCUCGAAACUACUUGGCUGGAGUGUGGCAGAGGAAGGUGGAAUUCCACGUGUAGCGGUGAAAUGCGUAGAGAUGUGGAGGAACACCGAUGGCGAAGGCAGCCUUCUGGGCCAACACUGACGCUCAUGCACGAAAGCGUGGGGAGCAAACAGGAUUAGAUACCCUGGUAGUCCACGCCCUAAACGAUGUCAACUGGUUGUUGGACGGCUUGCUGUUCAGUAACGAAGCUAACGCGUGAAGUUGACCGCCUGGGGAGUACGGCCGCAAGGUUG
RNAcentral lists this ribosomal RNA (375 nucleotides) under uncultured bacterium. RNAcentral's name for it is "bacterial SSU rRNA". It matches the Rfam family "Bacterial small subunit ribosomal RNA", at positions 521 to 896 of the family's 1533-position model. The record is from RNAcentral.